This is a long non-coding RNA of Alosa sapidissima (American shad), 190 nucleotides long. RefSeq lists it as uncharacterized. The transcript is spliced from 2 exons. The record is from RefSeq and is a predicted model, not a curated record. Lineage: Eukaryota; Metazoa; Chordata; Actinopteri; Clupeiformes; Clupeidae.
AGGAGGUGGUGCAGGAGGUGGAGGAGGAGGUGGUGGAGGUGGAAAGUUUAAUCAGAAUCCAUAUAGGCCUGCUCAAGGUGAACUUUGGGGAGAAACAACCAUUGGACCCAUCUUUGUUACAAAGAAAAAACCUUGAGCUGAAUUUAUGGUUUCUGCCAAGUUUUAGCAAUAAAGUUGAAAUCCCAAUGUG